GCUGGCGGCAGGCCUAACACAUGCAAGUCGAGCGCCGUAGCAAUACGGAGCGGCAGACGGGAGAGUAACACGUGGGAACGUACCCUUUGGUUCGGAACAACCCAGGGAAACUUGGGCUAAUACCGAAUAAGCCCUUACGGGGAAAGAUUUAUCGCCGAAGGAUCGGCCCGCGUCUGAUUAGCUAGUUGGUGGGGUAACGGCCCACCAAGGCGACGAUCAGUAGCUGGUCUGAGAGGAUGAUCAGCCUCAUUGGGACUGAGACACGGCCCAAACUCCUACGGGAGGCAGCAGUGGGGAAUAUUGGACAAUGGGCGCAAGCCUGAUCCAGCCAUGCCGCGUGGGUGAUGAAGGCCCUAGGGUUGUAAAGCCCUUUCGGCGGGGAAGAUAAUGACGGUACCCGCAGAAGAAGCCCCGGCUAACUUCGUGCCAGCAGCCGCGGUAAUACGAAGGGGGCUAGCGUUGCUCGGAAUCACUGGGCGUAAAGCGCACGU
RNAcentral lists this ribosomal RNA (491 nucleotides) under uncultured soil bacterium. RNAcentral describes it as "bacterial SSU rRNA". It matches the Rfam family "Bacterial small subunit ribosomal RNA", at positions 35 to 572 of the family's 1533-position model. The record is from RNAcentral.